RNAcentral lists this unclassified non-coding RNA (345 nucleotides) under soil metagenome. RNAcentral's name for it is "partial contains 5.8S ribosomal RNA, internal transcribed spacer 2, and large subunit ribosomal RNA". The stretch from base 1 to 119 matches the Rfam family "5.8S ribosomal RNA", at positions 35 to 154 of the family's 154-position model. The record is from RNAcentral.
GAUGAAGAACGCAGCGAAAUGCGAUACGUAAUGUGAAUUGCAAAUUCAGUGAAUCAUCAAGUCUUUGAACGCACAUUGCGCCCCCUGGUAUUCCGGGGGGCAUGCCUGUCCGAGCGUCAUUGCUGCCCUCAAGCACGGCUUGUGUGUUGGGCCCCGUCCUCCGAUCCCGGGGGACGGGCCCGAAAGGCAGCGGCGGCACCGCGUCCGGUCCUCGAGCGUAUGGGGCUUUGUCACCCGCUCUGUAGGCCCGGCCGGCGCUUGCCGAUCAACCCAAAUUUUUAUCCUGGUUGACCUCGGAUCAGGUAGGGAUACCCGCUGAACUUAAGCAUAUCAAUAAGCGGAGGA